Ribosomal RNA from Amphiprion ocellaris (clown anemonefish), 108 nucleotides. Lineage: Eukaryota; Metazoa; Chordata; Actinopteri; Pomacentridae. The record is from Ensembl.
GCUUACAGCCAUACCAGCCUGAAUAUGCCUGAUCUCGGAAGCUAAGCAGCGUUGGGUCUGGUUAGUACUUGGAUGGGAUCCACCUGGGAAUACCAGGUGCUGUAAGCU